CACGUAGGGCGCAAGCGUUGUCCGGAAUUAUUGGGCGUAAAGAGCUCGUAGGCGGUCUGUUGCGUCCGCUGUGAAAACUCGGGGCUUAACCCCGAGCCUGCAGUGGAUACGGGCAGACUAGAGGUAGGUAGGGGAGAAUGGAAUUCCCGGUGUAGCGGUGAAAUGCGCAGAUAUCGGGGAGGAACACCCGGUGGCGAAGGCGGCCACCUCGGCGG
RNAcentral lists this ribosomal RNA (215 nucleotides) under uncultured bacterium. Its description in RNAcentral is "partial 16S ribosomal RNA". It matches the Rfam family "Bacterial small subunit ribosomal RNA", at positions 524 to 736 of the family's 1533-position model. The record is from RNAcentral.